GAUGAACGCUGGCGGCGUGCCUAAUACAUGCAAGUCGAGCGAACAGACGAGGAGCUUGCUCCUCUGACGUUAGCGGCGGACGGGCGAGUAACACGUGGAUAACCUACCUAUAAGACUGGGAUAACUUCGGGAAACCGGAGCUAAUACCGGAUAAUAUAUUGAACCGCAUGGUUCAAUAGUGAAAGACGGUUUUGCUGUCACUUAUAGAUGGAUCCGCGCCGCAUUAGCUAGUUGGUAAGGUAACGGCUUACCAAGGCAACGAUGCGUAGCCGACCUGAGAGGGUGAUCGGCCACACUGGAACUGAGACACGGUCCAGACUCCUACGGGAGGCAGCAGUAGGGAAUCUUCCGCAAUGGGCGCAAGCCUGACGGAGCAACGCCGCGUGAGUGAUGAAGGUCUUCGGAUCGUAAAACUCUGUUAUUAGGGAAGAACAAAUGUGUAAGUAACUAUGCACGUCUUGACGGUACCUAAUCAGAAAGCCCCGGCUAACUACGUG
RNAcentral lists this ribosomal RNA (497 nucleotides) under uncultured bacterium. Its description in RNAcentral is "partial 16S ribosomal RNA". It matches the Rfam family "Bacterial small subunit ribosomal RNA", at positions 28 to 507 of the family's 1533-position model. The record is from RNAcentral.